This 468-nucleotide long non-coding RNA is filed under the name Musa acuminata (dwarf banana). Its description in RNAcentral is "long non-coding RNA (MACU_LNC003988)". Lineage: Eukaryota; Viridiplantae; Streptophyta; Magnoliopsida; Zingiberales; Musaceae. The record is from RNAcentral.
AAAGAUACUAUAUUGCCAUAUGGGAGGUUAAUCACUAGAAUUCUUCAUGCCUAUGACAUUUGCAUUCCACCCGAUGAAGAAUCUAUUCAAAAUGAUCGAUAUAACAUAAUAAAUAAAAACCUACUGAAAAGACUUAGGUGCACUUUUAGCAAUGGCAUAUGGGUUAGGCAACCUAGAAGGACGGAUCCAAUUCCUCCACCAAUAGAACAGCCCGAAACACCAAUUCUUAUGGGAAAUGAAUCUCCUCCUCCUAGUCCCUUUGGCGCAGCACCUUCAGCUCCUGUUUCCUCCUCUGAAGAUAUCAUUAUGGCGGAGCUAUCUCAGAUCAAAUCACAGCAAGAACAAAUUCAGAAUCAAUAAGUUGAAAUUUUGAAGACAUUACGACAGAUGAAUGAAAAAAUAGAUAUCAUGUAUCAGCACUGUGGAUUACCUCCUAAGGAUUAAAUUGAUGUAUCUUUUUAUUCUGUU